This 253-nucleotide ribosomal RNA is filed under the name uncultured bacterium. RNAcentral's name for it is "partial 16S ribosomal RNA". It matches the Rfam family "Bacterial small subunit ribosomal RNA", at positions 524 to 776 of the family's 1533-position model. The record is from RNAcentral.
UACGUAGGGUGCGAGCGUUGUCCGGAAUUAUUGGGCGUAAAGGGCUCGUAGGCGGUUUGUCACGUCGGGAGUGAAAACUCGGGGCUUAACCCCGAGCCUGCUUCCGAUACGGGCAGACUAGAGGUAUGCAGGGGAGAACGGAAUUCCUGGUGUAGCGGUGAAAUGCGCAGAUAUCAGGAGGAACACCAAUGGCGAAGGCAGCUCACUGGGACGGUAUUGACGCUGAGACGCGAAAGCGUGGGGAGCAAACAGG